This is an unclassified non-coding RNA of Erinaceus europaeus (western European hedgehog), 311 nucleotides long. Its record names the gene 7SK. It matches the Rfam family "7SK RNA". Rfam says of the family: 7SK was discovered as an abundant small nuclear RNA in the mid-70s but a possible function has only recently been suggested. Two independent studies have found that 7SK RNA binds the CDK9/cyclin T complex (known as elongation factor P-TEFb). The record is from Ensembl. Lineage: Eukaryota; Metazoa; Chordata; Mammalia; Eulipotyphla; Erinaceidae.
AGAUGUGAGGGCGAUCUGGCUGCGACAUCCGCCACCCCAUUGAUUGCCAGGGAUGAUUCAGUUGAUCUGGCUGGCUAGGUGGGUGUCCCCUUCCUGCCUCAUUCCUCAGUGCUCCAUGUGCGUCCCUGGCAGCCUUCCCCAAAUAGAGACGGGUCUUCAGUUGAGGGUAUAUGUACAAGUAGCUGCGCUCCCCUGCUAGAACCUCCAGACAAGCUCUCAAGGUCCAUCUUAGGAGAACGUAGCUUAGUCAAGCUUCCAAGACACCAGAUACAUUCAAAUGAGGCGCUGCAUGAGGUAGUCUGCCUUUCUUU